This 500-nucleotide ribosomal RNA is filed under the name uncultured bacterium. RNAcentral's name for it is "partial 16S ribosomal RNA". It matches the Rfam family "Bacterial small subunit ribosomal RNA", at positions 30 to 523 of the family's 1533-position model. The record is from RNAcentral.
AUUGAACGCUGGCGGCAUGCCUUACACAUGCAAGUCGAACGGCAGCGCGGACUUCGGUCUGGCGGCGAGUGGCGAACGGGUGAGUAAUACAUCGGAACGUACCCUGUUGUGGGGGAUAACUAGUCGAAAGAUUAGCUAAUACCGCAUACGACCUGAGGGUGAAAGUGGGGGACCGCAAGGCCUCACGCAGCAGGAGCGGCCGAUGUCUGAUUAGCUAGUUGGUGGGGUAAAGGCCCACCAAGGCGACGAUCAGUAGCUGGUCUGAGAGGACGAUCAGCCACACUGGGACUGAGACACGGCCCAGACUCCCACGGGAGGCAGCAGUGGGGAAUUUUGGACAAUGGGGGCAACCCUGAUCCAGCAAUGCCGCGUGUGUGAAGAAGGCCUUCGGGUUGUAAAGCACUUUUGUCCGGAAAGAAAUCGCGCUGGUUAAUACCUGGCGUGGAUGACGGUACCGGAAGAAUAAGCACCGGCUAACUACGUGCCAGCCGCCGCUGUAA